UGAACGCUGGCGGCAGGCUUAACACAUGCAAGUCGAGCGGUAACAGAUCCAGCUUGCUGGAUGCUGACGAGCGGCGGACGGGUGAGUAACGCGUAGGAAUCUACCCAGUAGCGGGGGAUAGCCCGGGGAAACCCGGAUUAAUACCGCAUACGCCCUAUGGGGGAAAGCAGGGGAUCUUCGGACCUUGCACUAUUGGAUGAGCCUGCGUCGGAUUAGCUAGUUGGUGGGGUAAAGGCCUACCAAGGCGACGAUCCGUAGCUGGUCUGAGAGGAUGAUCAGCCACACCGGGACUGAGACACGGCCCGGACUCCUACGGGAGGCAGCAGUGGGGAAUAUUGGACAAUGGGGGCAACCCUGAUCCAGCCAUGCCGCGUGUGUGAAGAAGGCUUUCGGGUUGUAAAGCACUUUCAGUGAGGAGGAAAUGGUGACUGUUAAUAGCGGUCACAAUUGACGUUACUCACAGAAGAAGCACCGGCUAACUCC
Molecule: ribosomal RNA, 483 nt
Filed under: uncultured bacterium
Lineage: Bacteria
Description: bacterial SSU rRNA
Rfam family: Bacterial small subunit ribosomal RNA
Source: RNAcentral